Long non-coding RNA from Tympanuchus pallidicinctus (lesser prairie-chicken), 4534 nucleotides. RefSeq lists it as uncharacterized. Lineage: Eukaryota; Metazoa; Chordata; Aves; Galliformes; Phasianidae. The record is from RefSeq and is a predicted model, not a curated record. The transcript has 3 exons.
UAAAUGCCUUUACUCACAAUUAGACCUAAAUGUAGAAACCAGUUUACAGUACUUUUAUUCCUAGGUCACAAAGGAUUUGCUGUUCAGAGAAAAGCAUAUGGUAACCCCUACUGAAGAAGGGAAGCAGUGGCCCAGAGCAUUGUAUCACUGAGAAGCCAAGUCGGGAAGCACACCUGUAUCAGUCCUGUUUCUGGACAAACUGUCACUUCCCUGCAAGUACAACAGAUGCCCAUACCAAAGCAAUUACUGUAUGGGAGAUGCUGACUGGCUGGAAGAACCUGUUCAUUUUGGAUCUGUAAUGGAGUCUGCGAGGAGCUCAGCUUCCUGGUGUGGAAGAAGGCAGUUGUCUGAUCUUCAGCAUCCUCCUGUCCUGGUGGAUUAUGUCAUGAACAGCUCUGCCUGGGGUCAUUUGUGAACAGAUAUCUUGGAAGAUAGGAUCAUCACUGGUUGGGGACCAUUGUUCUUGCUUAAACUGUCCAUGCUAGUGUUUGUCAAGAAGGGUAAGUGCAUUGCAGAAAGGAGAGCUUGUGUACCAGCUCCUAGCUCUGAUUGCUAAGGCAAAGACCAAAGGCAAGGGUCUGAGUUUGAAGACAGCUCCCAGGUGAAAUGGGUAAAGACUCCUGCAGAAGCUUCUCAUUGCUUUUUCAAACCGUUUUUCACUGCAGUCUGUUUCCAGCUUUCAGUGGCACUGGCUGGUCUCUAUGACAGGCAGCUAAACACCAAGGAAGGGGCCCUGACAAAUCCAGCCCCUUGUUUUAUCUUGUCUAUCAUUAUCUCUUCAAUCUCUUCUGAAGAUCUGUGGAGAAGUUUUCCAUGAAUAUCUUGAAUACUAGGAGGUCAGUGUGCAUUUGUACUUUCGUCGGGGAUCUGAAAACACAUCCCUGUGUGUAAUGAGGAGUUAAAACUAUUGUCCUGGGUGACUGGGAAAUGUGGGCUGACAACAUGAAGUGGUGAGCUUAGGGGAAUUUUCUUUUCAGAAAUAUUUUUAUUUGUUGGGGAUCCUUGACAGGACAAGAACUUAACAUUUCUAGGCAGGAAUGUAUCUGAGUCAGUUGAGUUUUGUUAGGGUGCACAGCAGCCUCUAGUCACUGAUGUGUGCAUGAGAAGCUACUGGCUGGUUCAUGAGGAAUUUGGACCUUCUCAGAACUGGAGUUUUGGUGACUCCUGAAUGUCAGAGGCUCAAGAUCUGGAAUGAAUUGACCAAGGUCUGUACUUAAGGUGGAGAAUAAAGAUUCCCUUUCUUGAGCAGGCAUACAGGCAAGGUGAAAAGCACAUCAAGUAUCAGCUGGGUAUUUUGUUUGUGGAGAACCAAAGAUGAGCUGGAACAAAUGUGAGAGCCUGUGAGUACCACUUUUGUGUCCUACACUGAUCCACAUGAUCUAAAUAUUAAAGUGCAAAGAGGCAAUGAUUGUAAGGAACUUCUAGCGUAAUUGGUGUUCUGUGAUGACAUUUAGCAGUUCACACAGAGCAAAGCACCAAUUUUGGUCUGGAUUAUUUCUUAAAGAGCAGUGUCUGGGACAUCUGCGGCAAGGCUCUUGUUAUACUGAGUAGUUUUGAGAAUGAAACCAAGAAUAUUUGGGUCUGCAAAAACUGAGGCAUUUAACCGUAAAUAUUCCCUAAACCAGUGACCACAUGUCUGAAAAGGGAGAUUUAUGUGAAAUGGGAAGUUUCGUAACAGGACUCUUUCAUAAAAUAACGACAGUGACGUAUGCACACACGUACACACACACUCAUUCCAGAUAAGAUCAAACAUAUAACACUCCAAAGAUGAAACACUUCCCUAAUUAUUUCUCUCCUUCUGAUUUUGAAAUGUAAUUUCUCUAGGACUGACAGUUACAGGUGGAAAUGCUGCAGAGAAGUCUUUAAAUCUCUGCUGGAAGCGAUCUCUCUCCCUUGCAUGUAACGGAGCAUGUACACCUGACCACUGCUACCCAUAACAUUGCUUGUGUAUUCCAGUACUCCAGCCUCUCCAGUCCUUCUCUCUUUGCUCCAUGUAUCACUUUCCACAGCUCUGGAAUGCAUCUCUGCUAGAUAUUCCUUUGUUGGUGAUUUUAGCAGAUAUGGUAGCAGUAGGGAUAGGAGUGUAGCCAUCAGAAGAAUAGUUGGAUCUGUUGGAAGGGGUGAGAUACAGAAAGGAGGGUGAAGAUGAGGUAAAAACAUAGAAGGAUGGAAGAUGGAAGAUGUGGGAAUGAAAAGGUGGAGAUGGAAGAGAAAAAAAGGAUAGAAAAGGCAAGGAUCCCAGAGGACAGUUUCUUCUUCUGAAGAACAUUAAAUACUGCAUAAAUUACAGUAAAUUGAAAUAUUGUUAAUCUAUAAAGGCUGUAUUGUUCUCUUUUUCUCUUGGCCAACUACUGCUGACGUAAGCAGGAACUCUUCUCUAGGCUGAAGAAGCCUAAAGCCUAGCAAGCAAGCCUGGCGCCCAGACUGGGGCUGGAAGUGGGAUUUGGCCUCUGCUAUACAGAAAGGCUUUGAGGAUUCAGACUUAGAGGAACCCAGGGAAUGUGAGGCCGCUGGGCAAGCAUCAGAUAGGAGCAUUUAGUCAGCGUUUCUUCUACAAAAACUAAUAAAAAUACAUCUUUCAGUCUUUUCCAGGAAGAUGUCAGAGCUCUUCUGUGGAGUUAGCAGGCUUGACAUGGACACCAGCUUAGUCAUUAGAGAAUAAGACAAAGGGGUUUAAGUCUUGCUAGAAAUUCAUAUAUCCUGCAAGGCUACUGGGGAGACACCGCUGACUCCAUGAUGUGUGUAAAUGUAUUUGUGCAUACGUGUAUGUGUAUGUGUGUAUCACUGGAUAUAAACAGAUGCAGCUAUCUGUUUUCUCCUAAUUAUUCCGUAAUUCUGCCUUCGGCUUUGCAGACUCCAGGAUCUUGGCCAGCUGGAGCCGGAGAGGCUGCCAAGUCCAUCAGGUUGAGGGAGCCAGCAGGCUGUUCCACCUGACUGUCUGGAAGCAUUCUUUUGCUCUCUUGAGAGUUUCCCAACGCGUCUCCAUUUCCUUUGAAAGAAGGUUCACCCAUGAUUGCCAGCGUCUAUGUCAGGUCUUCUUUGCAUGGGUGCUGAGACUGCAAAACCCGGAGACCCAUGGCCCCUCUCAGCACUGUUUUAGCAAUCUUCCAGCUGCACAAGCACUGAAAAGCUCCAAAAAAUAUCUAAUGAGGCAGAUGAAAAGAGACAGGCUCGGGCUCUUGGCUAAUGCUAUAGUUGCUUUAUAGGGAUAGAGAGGAUGAUUGCAAGAACUCAUCAUAUCUCAUAACCUGAUGAGGUCAGUAACAACCCUGAUUUUUCUGCACUCCUAAAGCAGAGGAGCUUCUUUGUCGACAGCUGAGAAGACCCUGAAGAAUCCAAGGUGCGUGCUGAGGUAACAAGGGGACAGCUGAAAUUUAUGUUUUUUAAGUUUUUAUGCUUAUCUCAAGAAUGAUGUGCUGGGAAAGUAAAUCCUUUGCAAACGCUCAUGAAUCUCUGGUAUUCAGGUGCCCUGCAGGAGAGAUGCAGAAACACAGAAAAGAUUUUUACCAUUUGAUCUCACCAUGUGGCUCUCAUCUGGUGCUCUGUUCUGCCUACUUCUUCCUUGGGAUAGUGUUCAAAACAAAUGGGGUUUUCAGAAGUGCUCCAUAUAGGGGAGACUAAGAAAAUCUCCCUUCUGUGUUUCUCCCUUCUGCUCAGUCUAAACAGCUUUAUCCAACUGCACCUCCCCCUUCCGGGUCCUCCUUCCAAGUACAGGUAAAGGUUUAUUCUUCACAAAACUUGGAAACAGAGACAAACUUUCACAUCACCUAUUCUGACAGUCCCGUUAUCCAUCUGUAAUCACAGUGAGCCAUUGGGCUGCCUAAUGAGUAGCAUGAUUCCUUCCUACGUUUCGGUCUGGUUUUACCCUUGUAUGUCCUAUCCUCUGUGUGUAUGCAGCAGUGACGUGCAGGCCAAGAAGUGGAGACAGGGAGAGUGGAGUUAAAGGAAAGAUGGGAAAAAAGCAUCAGCAGCAAGCUGGGAAGUUCAGUGAAUGCCUUUAGCAAUACCAUUAGGGCGGGCUUCUGAAAUGAGGUGGUAAGACACAGCAAAAAAGCAGCCUUACUGGUUCUGGCUGACUUGCACAGUAGGUCUCUGUGUUUUUAAUGUGCAACCUGUUCUCUCUGGUGAGGAACUGUCACUUUUAGUUCAGCUCACUGUAGCUUUUCACACAUAGAAAAGAUAUGCAACUCAAUACAUUUUCUCUCUUCCGUGAUGCAGAGGUUCCCAAACCAUGGCAGAGAUCCCUGCCAAUCUUCUUUAUGUCUUUUGGAGCACUUACACUGUUAUUGUUCGACACUGAAUAGAGAGUCUUUGAGAAGUUAGUUAUCCAGAUCAGCUACAGGCAUUUCUAACCUCACCAAACAUAAUGUUGUCAUGGGUUUUGGCCAGGAAGGUGCCAUUUCCAAGGAUCUUAUUCUUUUCCCUUUGAUUUUCGAAAAUCAACAAGUUCUAGUGAAGAGCUCUGUGUAAAAUAUGGAGCUGAGGAUUAACAAAGAAGCAAAGAGGAGGUCUUUUUUUUUUUUUUUGCUUACGU